This 643-nucleotide ribosomal RNA is filed under the name Roseivivax lentus. Its description in RNAcentral is "bacterial SSU rRNA". It matches the Rfam family "Bacterial small subunit ribosomal RNA", at positions 62 to 752 of the family's 1533-position model. Lineage: Bacteria; Pseudomonadati; Pseudomonadota; Alphaproteobacteria; Rhodobacterales; Roseobacteraceae. The record is from RNAcentral.
UCGAGCGAGGUCUUCGGGCCUAGCGGCGGACGGGUUAGUAACGCGUGGGAACGUGCCCUUCACUACGGAAUAGUCCCGGGAAACUGGGUUUAAUACCGUAUACGCCCUUCGGGGGAAAGAAUUUCGGUGAAGGAUCGGCCCGCGUCUGAUUAGGUAGUUGGUGGGGUAAUGGCCUACCAAGCCUACGAUCAGUAGCUGGUUUUAGAGGAUGAUCAGCAACACUGGGACUGAGACACGGCCCAGACUCCUACGGGAGGCAGCAGUGGGGAAUCUUAGACAAUGGGCGCAAGCCUGAUCUAGCCAUGCCGCGUGAGUGAUGAAGGCCUUAGGGUCGUAAAGCUCUUUCGCUGGGGAAGAUAAUGACGGUACCCAGUAAAGAAACCCCGGCUAACUCCGUGCCAGCAGCCGCGGUAAUACGGAGGGGGUUAGCGUUGUUCGGAAUUACUGGGCGUAAAGCGCGCGUAGGCGGACUGUUAAGUCGGGGGUGAAAUCCCGGGGCUCAACCCCGGAACGGCCUUCGAUACUGGCAGUCUGGAGUUCGAGAGAGGUGAGUGGAAUUCCGAGUGUAGAGGUGAAAUUCGUAGAUAUUCGGAGGAACACCAGUGGCGAAGGCGGCUCACUGGCUCGAUACUGACGCUGAGGU